Molecule: long non-coding RNA, 271 nt
Filed under: Olea europaea (common olive)
Lineage: Eukaryota; Viridiplantae; Streptophyta; Magnoliopsida; Lamiales; Oleaceae
Description: long non-coding RNA (OEUR_LNC012033)
Source: RNAcentral
CUGACUUGAAUUCUUUUACCCACCAAUUCACGCACCGAAGCAGGAAAGAGUGGGGAUACGAUGAUAAAGGCGGCCUGGUGGGGAAGAAAAGUCCAGAAAUUGAAAGAAAAGAAUUGCGGCUGCCAUAUAUUUAUAAAUUCCGUACAACAUUGGACGGUGACGUGGAGAGAAAAGCCAGCUGCUGGUGAUAUAUAUUGAUACAAAGGCAGCCACUUAGAUUUCAUAUACAAGGAAUUGGGAGGCGGUUGAGUCAAAAGUAAGGAGAUUGGGC